AAGCGAGGCUGAAAGUGGUUCCCCCCCACCCUUUCAGCACUUCCGGUGCGUUACCUUGAGAAGACCCGCGGCCCGACACCCUCACGGGUGCCGGGCCGCCUUCUUUU
Molecule: small RNA, 107 nt
Filed under: Corallococcus coralloides DSM 2259
Lineage: Bacteria; Pseudomonadati; Myxococcota; Myxococcia; Myxococcales; Myxococcaceae
Description: Pxr regulatory sRNA
Rfam family: Pxr regulatory sRNA
About the family: Downregulates genes responsible for the formation of fruiting bodies in Myxococcus xanthus, inhibiting the transition from growth to development in the presence of abundant nutrients.
Source: Rfam by way of RNAcentral